Molecule: microRNA precursor, 78 nt
Filed under: Echinococcus granulosus
Lineage: Eukaryota; Metazoa; Platyhelminthes; Cestoda; Cyclophyllidea; Taeniidae
Description: microRNA egr-mir-10a precursor
Gene: egr-mir-10a
Source: miRBase by way of RNAcentral
CACCCUGUAGACCCGAGUUUGAGUGCCUAGCGUACGUUCCACCGUACGGACUCCCAAGCUCGUGUCUUCAAGGCAUCA